Camellia sinensis is the source of this 426-nucleotide non-coding RNA. The record is from RefSeq and is a predicted model, not a curated record. NCBI's taxonomy places the organism in Eukaryota, Viridiplantae, Streptophyta, Magnoliopsida, Ericales, Theaceae.
AUCAACUUAAUUUUGUUGACCUAUUAAAAAGCCAAAAGUUUAAGGCCCAAACCAACUUAAAAGGCCCAUUUUUUUUCUAAGUCCUAACCCUAUCAACCUUCCCUUUGAUAGCCACACCACACCAGCAAGGGAGAAGAAUCUGUGCAGCCAGACGAAGAAGUGCUCCAGUAGCACAGGUGCAGAUGAGGUGUUUCCUCCAAGGCAAAAGCAUGGAUGGAUUUCAGGAAGCAAGAGCUUCUUAUCUAUGUCUUGUUGUGUUAAUAUUGAUUAUUUGUAUAGCCAAGGGCUUAAGAUGUAAUGAGCGGGACUCAAUUUGUGUAACCAAGCAAUGACUUGGAAAGAUGUAAACCUAUAUGGCAUUUAAUUGUUUGUUAAAUUAUAAACUGUGAUGUAUGAAAGUAUGUUAUUACUCAUAUUUAUUCCGCA